CCUGGUUGAUUCUGCCAGUAGUCAUAUGCUUGUCUCAAAGAUUAAGCCAUGCAUGUCUAAGUAUAAGCAAUUAUACCGUGAAACUGCGAAUGGCUCAUUAAAUCAGUUAUCGUUUAUUUGAUAAUACCUUACUACUUGGAUAACCGUGGUAAUUCUAGAGCUAAUACAUGCUGAAAAUCCCGACUUCGGAAGGGAUGUGUUUAUUAGAUAAAAAACCAAUGCCCUUCGGGGCUUUUUGGUGAUUCAUGAUAACUUUACGGAUCGCAUAGCCUUGCGCUGGCGACGGUUCAUUCAAAUUUCUGCCCUAUCAACUUUCGAUGGUAAGGUAUUGGCUUACCAUGGUUUCAACGGGUAACGGGGAAUUAGGGUUCGAUUCCGGAGAGGGAGCCUGAGAAACGGCUACCACAUCCAAGGAAGGCAGCAGGCGCGCAAAUUACCCAAUCCCGACACGGGGAGGUAGUGACAAUAAAUACUGAUACAGGGCUCUUUUGGGUCUUGUAAUUGGAAUGAGUACAAUUUAAACCUCUUAACGAGGAACAAUUGGAGGGCAAGUCUGGUGCCAGCAGCCGCGGUAAUUCCAGCUCCAAUAGCGUAUAUUAAAGUUGUUGCAGUUAAAAAGCUCGUAGUUGAAACUUGGGCCUGGCUGGCGGGUCCGCCUCACCGCGUGCACUCGUCCGGCCGGGCCUUCCUUCUGAAGAACCUCAUGCCCUUCACUGGGCGUGCUGGGGAAUCAGGACUUUUACUUUGAAAAAAUUAGAGUGUUCAAAGCAGGCCUUUGCUCGAAUACGUUAGCAUGGAAUAAUAAAAUAGGGCGUGCGUUUCUAUUUUGUUGGUUUCUAGAGACGCCGCAAUGAUUAACAGGAACAGUCGGGGGCAUCAGUAUUCAGUUGUCAGAGGUGAAAUUCUUGGAUUUACUGAAGACUAACUACUGCGAAAGCAUUUGCCAAGGAUGUUUUCAUUAAUCAGUGAACGAAAGUUAGGGGAUCGAAGACGAUCAGAUACCGUCGUAGUCUUAACCGUAAACUAUGCCGACUAGGGAUCGGGCGAUGUUCUUUUUCUGACUCGCUCGGCACCUUACGAGAAAUCAAAGUUUUUGGGUUCUGGGGGAUUAUGGUCGCAAGGCUGAAACUUAAAGAAAUUGACGGAAGGUCACCACCAGGCGUGGAGCCUGCGGCUUAAUUUGACUCAACACGGGGAAACUCACCAGGUCCAGAUGAAAUAAGGAUUGACAGAUUGAGAGCUCUUUCUUGAUUUUUCAGGUGGUGGUGCAUGGCCGUUCUUAGUUCGUGGGGUGACUUGUCUGCUUAAUUGCGAUAAGAGCGAGACCUUACUCUGCUAAAUAGCCAGGCUAACUUUGGUUGGUCGCCGGCUUCUUAGAGAGACUAUCAAUCAAGUUGAUGGAAGUUUGAGGCAAUAACAGGUCUG
RNAcentral lists this ribosomal RNA (1425 nucleotides) under Alternaria alternata. RNAcentral's name for it is "SSU rRNA". It matches the Rfam family "Eukaryotic small subunit ribosomal RNA", at positions 3 to 1464 of the family's 1831-position model. The record is from RNAcentral. Lineage: Eukaryota; Fungi; Ascomycota; Dothideomycetes; Pleosporales; Pleosporaceae.